AGAGUUUGAUCAUGGCUCAGGAUGAACGCUAGCUACAGGCUUAACACAUGCAAGUCGAGGGGCAGCAUCAUCAAAGCUUGCUUUGAUGGAUGGCGACCGGCGCACGGGUGAGUAACACGUAUCCAACCUGCCGACAACACUGGGAUAGCCUUUCGAAAGAAAGAUUAAUACCGGAUGGCAUAAUUAUUCCGCAUGGGAUAAUUAUUAAAGAAUUUCGGUUGUCGAUGGGGAUGCGUUCCAUUAGGCAGUUGGCGGGGUAACGGCCCACCAAACCUACGACGGAUAGGGGUUCUGAGAGGAAGGUCCCCCACAUUGGAACUGAGACACGGUCCAAACUCCUACGGGAGGCAGCAGUGAGGAAUAUUGGUCAAUGGACGAGAGUCUGAACCAGCCAAGUAGCGUGAAGGAUGACUGCCCCAUGGGUUGUAAACUUCUUUUAUACGGGAAUAAAGUGAGCCACGUGUGGCUUUUUGUAUGUACCGUAUGAAUAAGGAUCGGCUAACUCCGUGCCAGCAGCCGCGGUAAUACGGAGGAUCCGAGCGUUAUCC
This 548-nucleotide ribosomal RNA is filed under the name uncultured bacterium. RNAcentral's name for it is "bacterial SSU rRNA". It matches the Rfam family "Bacterial small subunit ribosomal RNA", at positions 8 to 546 of the family's 1533-position model. The record is from RNAcentral.